GAUGAACGCUGGCGGCGUGCCUAAUACAUGCAAGUCGAGCGAACAGACGAGGAGCUUGCUCCUCUGACGUUAGCGGCGGACGGGUGAGUAACACGUGGAUAACCUACCUAUAAGACUGGGAUAACUUCGGGAAACCGGAGCUAAUACCGGAUAACAUGUUGAACCGCAUGGUUCAACAGUGAAAGACGGUUUUGCUGUCACUUAUAGAUGGAUCCGCGUCGCAUUAGCUAGUUGGUAAGGUAACGGCUUACCAAGGCAACGAUGCGUAGCCGACCUGAGAGGGUGAUCGGCCACACUGGAGCUGAGACACGGUCCAGACUCCUACGGGAGGCAGCAGUAGGGAAUCUUCCGCAAUGGGCGAAAGCCUGACGGAGCAACGCCGCGUGAGUGAAGAAGGUCUUCGGAUCGUAAAACUCUGUUAUUAGGGAAGAACAAAUGUGUAAGUAACUAUGCACGUCUUGACGGUACCUAAUCAGAAAGCCACGGCUAACUACGUG
This 497-nucleotide ribosomal RNA is filed under the name uncultured bacterium. RNAcentral's name for it is "partial 16S ribosomal RNA". It matches the Rfam family "Bacterial small subunit ribosomal RNA", at positions 28 to 507 of the family's 1533-position model. The record is from RNAcentral.